This is a long non-coding RNA of Eriocheir sinensis (Chinese mitten crab), 595 nucleotides long. RefSeq lists it as uncharacterized. Lineage: Eukaryota; Metazoa; Arthropoda; Malacostraca; Decapoda; Varunidae. The record is from RefSeq and is a predicted model, not a curated record. The transcript has 3 exons.
GCUCACGCUAACGAGCUCCACCUGCCCGGGUUUUUUGCUCGGAGUUUGCUCUCCUAGGUGAACUGCUCACGCUAACGAGCUCCACCUGCCCGGGUUUGUUGUUCGGAGUUUGCUCUCCUAGGUGAACUGCCUACCACGGCUAACGAGCCUCACCUGCCCGGGUUUGUUUAGAGUUUGCUCUCCUAGGCAGAUUGCCUACCACGGCUAACGAGCUCCACCUGCCCGGGUUUAUUGUUCGGAGUUUGCUCUCCUAGGCAGACUGCCUACCACGGCUAACGAGCUCCACCUGCCCGGGUUUGUAACCGGAAGAUCUCCGGCACCUCCGUCGGGGCCCCGAGGGACGCCGAGGAGCCCUGCCUGGAGCCCUCCAGUCCUGCCAUGCUCGCCAGGGAGACCUUGGGCUCGCUGGCGCUCCACACCCCCGCCGAGGUGAGGAUGCAAGAACUCGCUUCUUAAAACUACCAGACUGGAUUAUAAAAUUAAUGAUAAUUACUGUGAAGGCGCCGGUCACCGCGUUUAUCGGUUCAGGGAUGGAAGACCGACGGGCCUGGGAAACGCGCACAAGCAUCCAAAGGAAUCCUCGCGACGGCUUGCG